UCUGGUUGAUUCUGCCAGUAGUCAUAUGCUUGUCUCAAAGAUUAAGCCAUGCAUGUCUAAGUAUAAGCUUGUUUAUACGGCGAGACUGCGGAUGGCUCAUUAAAUCAGUUAUAGUUUAUUUGAUGGUCUCUUUUGUCUUUUUUUACCUACUUGGAUAACCGUGGUAAUUCUAGAGCUAAUACAUGCGCAAGGUCCCGAGCGCGGGGGGUGGGGCUUCACGGCUCCAUUCUCGCAUGCGCAGAGGGAUGUAUUUAUUAGGUUAAAAACCAGCGUAGUCAGCAAUGGCUACAAACUCCCCUGGUGAUUCAUAGUAACUCUUUCGGAUCGCAUUCAUGUCCUCCUUCGUGGGGACGGCGACGAUUCAUUCAAAUUUCUGCCCUAUCAACUUUCGAUGGUAGGAUAUGCCUACCCCAUGGUGGUAACGGGUAACGGAGAAUCAGGGUUUGAUUCCGGAGAAGGAGCCUGAGAAACGGCUACUACUUCUAAGGAAGGCAGCAGGCGCGCAAAUUACCCAAUCCCGACACGGGGAGGUAGUGACAAUAAAUAACAAUACAGGCGCUCGAUAAGAGUCUUGUAAUUGGAAUGAGUACAAUUUAAACCCCUUAACGAGUAACAAUUGGAGGGCAAGUCUGGUGCCAGCAGCCGCGGUAAUUCCAGCUCCAAUAGCAUAUAUUAAAGUUGUUGCAGUUAAAAAGCUCGUAGUUGGAUCUAGGGACGCGCAUUUCAAGCGCCCGUGUCGUCGGGUCAAACCGGCGACUGCGUUGGCGUUGCGGGCUCGGUCCGUCGGUGCUCACAAAAGCAUCGGCGUGUCAACCGGCCCGCCCGUCCCCUCCUUCUGGAUUCCCGUUCCUGCUAUUGAGUUAGUGGGGACGUCACAGGGGGCCCAUCGUCGUGUCAUGCAAAUGGCACGGCGGUGAGUCCCUGGGGCCCAGAUCGUUUACCGUGAAAAAAUUAGAGUGUUCAAAGCAGGCAGAUCCAAUUUUCUGCCACCGAAUACAUUAGCAUGGGAUAAUGGAAUAGGACCCUGUCCUCCUAUUUUCAGUUGGUUUUGGCAGCGCGAGGACUAGGGUAAUGAUUAAUAGGGAUAGUUGGGGGCAUUAGUAUUUAAUUGUCAGAGGUGAAAUUCUUAGAUUUCUUGAAGACUAACUUCAGCGAAAGCAUCUGUCCAGGAUGUUUUCAUUAAUCAAGAACGAAAGUUAGGGGAUCGAAGAUGAUCAGAUACCGUUGUAGUCCUAACCAUAAACCAUGCCGACCAGCGAUUGGGAGACGUUGAAUACAAAACACCACCAUCGGCGCGGUCGUCCUUGGCGUGUCUCGGCUUCACGGCCGGGGCGCGCGAGGGCGGUUUAGCCCGGUGGCACCGGUGAACGACUCCCCAGGCAUCUUGUGAGAAAUCACAAGUCUUUGGGUUCCGGGGGGAGUAUGGUCGCAAGGUCGAAACUUAAAGGAAUUGACGGAGGGACGCA
This 1466-nucleotide ribosomal RNA is filed under the name uncultured eukaryote. Its description in RNAcentral is "partial small subunit ribosomal RNA". It matches the Rfam family "Eukaryotic small subunit ribosomal RNA", at positions 1 to 1169 of the family's 1831-position model. The record is from RNAcentral.